CCCUAGAAAAGGCAAAAAGACAAAAAUAAAUAAAUAAAUAAAAAUGUCACAGUUGAGUAUGAUAUGGCUUUGUUAAGUAGAUUCUUUCAUGAGUCAUGUCUUGAUAAGCAAAUCUUUAUCUUCAGCUUGUGCAUUAAGGCUACAGGCAGACUUUGGGAGUCCUCGAGGCUGUUCCAUUCUCUCCCCAGAUCUGAGUAUCAUGAUCCAUUAAACUUUCCCAUAACAGUAGUGAGUGACCAGAAUAUAUCAGAAAUAGGGAAAGCAACGAUGAAUACUGAGUUUAUGGUCUAGCGAAGGAACAGACAUUAAAGACGUGCACCCUUUCAGUGGUAGUAGCCUCAGUUUCACAGCAAAGAGCAAAUUAAGGAGAGGUGUCCUGCCUAAACUCACCAGAAGAGUGAAACAUCAAAAUUAGAUAGAUUGGUGAGAAAGACACCCCACUUUCCCAUUGGAAAAAAGUUUAAGUCCUGGGCCUAUGCACACUCAUAAGUGCCCUCCUUGUUAGAAUUCUGAGUUCACCAACAAAUCAAAUGUGUACUGACUCUUUGGUGAAAAUGGGAUGUUUGCCAGAGGCAGAAACGGUUUUUAGAAUUCUAUAUUAUAGUUCCUAAGUAAGAGUAAGUAGGCUUUUCUAUUCCUCUUAAAGCUCGGAUGUACUUCUCAUCUCUCUCCCUAAGCAUGCGUAUUAGGGUCUGCAGAGGAGGGUUCCCCACUAAUCUCAAUUCUACACGUCUCAUCACCAGCAACAGUCAUAGAGGUUGAGAGUAGUCUGACUGUAGGAAUAUUUAGGGACCAUGACUAAGCUGGUAAUAAAAGUAGCCUUAUUAUUAUCAGUAUUAUUCCUGAUGUCUUAGGGUAACAGGCAAUCAGUGAAGGCUUUUACCCCUGCCUCUCUCUCCUCUCUUCUUUCCUCUCUGUAUGGCAUUCUCUGGGUUGAUUCUCCUCCCCAUGAGCUCAUACUACAAAACUUCUUUUGCUGUUGCAGCCUAUCAAAAUUGAUCUUUCCUCUGUCCCCUAGCAUAGCAUAGGAGAAUUAAUCAUGUAACAUAACCUUGGUAGUAUAUAAACAUGCAAUAAUAAAGGCACAAAUUUUUUGGUGCCCCAGAGUGAUUCCACCAGUAGUAGUAGCAGAGAAUUUAGGAUGGAUUGCUGGUGGUAAAAAUGACUGCAGGAAGAAGGUCAUUUUAAUGUCUUCGAAUAGAUUUUUAAAAGGGCCUCCAGUGAUCCCCACCUACUUGUAUAUGUUCUGUGUAAUCUCCUCCCUUUUUUCCCCAUUUUUUAAAGUUUUAUUAAAGUAUGGUUGGUGUACAAUGUUGUGAUAAUUUCUGCUGUACGACAAAGUGAUUCCAUUAUACGUAUACACACAUCCCUUCUUUUUCAUAUUCUUUUCCCAUGUAGAUCAUCACAGAAUAUUAGAUAGAGUUCCCUGUGCUAUACAGCAGAUGCCUAUUGGCCAAUCGUUGUAUAUAUCCCAGUGUGCAUAUGCCAAUCCCAAACCCCCAGUCCAUCCCUCCCACCCACCUGUCUUCUUUGGUAACCAUAAAUUUGUUUUCAAAAUCUGUGAGUCUGUUUCUGUUCUGCAGGUAAGAGAUAAGUUCAUUUGCAUUUGUACCUUUUUUUUUUUUUUAGAUUGUGCCUCUAAGUGUUAUCAUAUGAUGUUUGUCUUUCACUGCCUAACUUCACUUAGUAUGAUAAUCUCUUGGUCCAUCCAUGUUGCUGCAAAUAACAUUAUUUCAUUUUUUUAAUGGCUGAGUAAUAUUCCAUUGUAUAUGCAUGUGGCACAUCUUCUUUAUCCAUUCUCCUGUCAGACAUUUAGUUGCUUCCAUGUCUCGGCUAUUGUAAAUAGUGCUGCAGUGAACAUUGGGGUGCAUGUAUCUUUUCAAAUUAUGAUUUUCUCCAGAUAAAUGCCUAGGAGUGGGAUUGCUGCCUCCUAUGGUAGUUCUAUUUUUAGUUUUUUGAGGAACCUCCCUAAUGUUUUCCAUAAUGGUUGUACCAAUUUCCAUUCCAACCAAGAGUGUAAGAUGGUUCCUUUUUCUUCACACCUUCUCUAGCACUAAUUGCUCAUAGACUUUUGGAUGACAGCCAUUCUGGCUGAUGUAAGAUGGUACCUCAUAGUUGUUUUUUUUUGUUGUUCAUUUUUGCAUUUUAGGGCUGCACAUGUGGCAUAUGGAAGUUCCCAGGCUAAGGGUAAAAUCAGAGCUGCAACUGCCAGCUUACACCACAGCCAUAGCAAUUUGGGAUCCAAGCCAUGUCUGUGACCUAAACCACAGCUCAUGCAACACUGGAACCCUUAACCCACUGAGCAAAGCCAGGGAUCAAACCUGUAUCCUCAUGGAUAUUCACCACAGUGGGAACUCUCCUUCAUAGUAUUUUGAUUUGUGGUACCUCGUAGUAGUUUUGAUUUAUAUUUCUCUAAUAAUUUGUCUUUUUUGAUAUUGAGCUGCAUGAGUUGUUUGUAUAUUUUGGAGAUUAAUCUCUUGUCAGUCACUUCAUUUGCAACUGCGUGCCUAAGAGGACUUUAAACAGUCUGUUUGCUGAUGAGUGGGGCUGUAUUCCCGCUCUGUUUGUUGUUUGGCCUGGGGCUUCUCAGCCCUGAUGGAUGGGGUCAGAUUUUUCCAGAAUGGCUCUUUCAGAGGAGUUCAUACUGAUGAUUGUACCCAGGACUUCCGCCUCCAAUGUCCUGCCCCCACAGUGACCCACAGUCACCCCCUUCUUUCCCUGGAGACCCUCCAAGAUCCGCAGGUGGGUCUGAUCCAGAUUCUUAACAGAGUCCCUGCUUUCCCCUGGGACCCAGUGCAUCGAGAAUCCUGUGCAAGAGGAGUCUCUGUUUCCCCUAGUCCUGUGGAGCUCCUGCAACUCAGGCCCCACUGCCCUUCAAUGCCAAGUGCUCCAGGGGCUCUUCCUCCCAAUGCCAGACCCCCCAGGUGUGGGAACCUAAUUUUGGGCUCAGAACUUUCACUCCUGUGGGAGAGCCUCUGCGAUGCAGUUAUUUUCCAGUCUGUGGGUCGCCUACAUGGCGGGUAUGGGAUUGAUUAUAUCACGAAAGUGCCCCUCCUACAGUCUCAGUGUGGCUUCUUUGUGUGUAGAAUACACAUACACACACACACACACAAACACACACACAUAUAUAUGUAGCUUCCAGUCUAUUUUGUUGAUUGCUGUUCAGCAGUUGUAAUUUUGGUGUUUUCAUGAGUGGAGGUGAACUUGAGCCCUUCUCUCCCACCAUCUUGUCUCUGACCUCCUGUAAUCCCCUCCCUUUGAGAGUGGCCUGAAAUUAGUGACUUGAUUUUAACUAACAGAAUAUGGCAAAAUAGAUGGAAUGCUACUUAUGCAAUUAAGUUAUAAGGUCUGUGAUUUCCAGUUUGCUAGAAGGCUUUCUCUGUUGCCUUCUUGGCUUGCAUGUUUAGAUAAAGAAAGCUGCUGUGUAGGAGAGGCUCAUACGGCAAAGAUAUGAGUAUGGCUUUUGGCCAACAGCCAGUGAGGAACUGCAGGCUUCAGUCUGGCAACACAUGGAAAAUGAACGUUGCAAAAAACCACUGAAGGAGUGUGGAAGAAAAUCUUUCACUAGUUGAGCCU
RNAcentral lists this long non-coding RNA (3576 nucleotides) under Sus scrofa (pig). RNAcentral describes it as "lncRNA (ENSSSCG00060072876.1)". The record is from RNAcentral. Lineage: Eukaryota; Metazoa; Chordata; Mammalia; Artiodactyla; Suidae.